AACGCUGGCGGCAUGCCUAACACAUGCAAGUCGAACGGCAGCACAGCAGUAGCAAUACUGUGGGUGGCGAGUGGCGGACGGGUGAGGAACACAUCGGAAUUUGCCCAGUCGUGGGGGAUAACGUAGGGAAACUUACGCUAAUACCGCAUACGACCUAACGGUGAAAGCGGGGGAUCGCAAGACCUCGCGCGGAUGGAUAAGCCGAUGUCGGAUUAGUUAGUUGGUAAGGUAACGGCUUACCAAGACAAUGAUGGGUAGGGGUCCUGAGAGGGAGAUCCCCCACACUGGUACUGAGACACGGACCAGACUCCUACGGGAGGCGGCAGUGAGGAAUAUUGGUCAAUGGGCGCAAGCCUGAACCAGCCAUGCCGCGUGCAGGAAGACGGUCCUAUGGAUUGUAAACUGCUUUUAUACAGGAAGAAACCCUCCCACGUGUGGGAGCUUGACGGUACUGUAGGAAUAAGGAUCGGCUAACUCCGUG
Molecule: ribosomal RNA, 481 nt
Filed under: uncultured bacterium
Lineage: Bacteria
Description: bacterial SSU rRNA
Rfam family: Bacterial small subunit ribosomal RNA
Source: RNAcentral